RNAcentral lists this ribosomal RNA (207 nucleotides) under uncultured bacterium. Its description in RNAcentral is "partial 16S ribosomal RNA". It matches the Rfam family "Bacterial small subunit ribosomal RNA", at positions 568 to 774 of the family's 1533-position model. The record is from RNAcentral.
CGCGUAGGCGGCUUGGCAAGCUUGGUGUUAAAAACAACGGCUUAACCGUUGGUAAGCACUGGGAACUGCCUGGCUAGAGGUCUGGAGGGGGAGCUGGAAUUCCUGGUGUAGGGGUGAAAUCUGUAGAUAUCAGGAAGAACACCGGUGGCGAAGGCGAGCUCCUGGCCGGAAAUUGACGCUGAGGCGCGAAAGCGUGGGGAGCGAACA